Long non-coding RNA from Hibiscus syriacus, 2591 nucleotides. RefSeq lists it as uncharacterized. The record is from RefSeq and is a predicted model, not a curated record. The transcript is spliced from 3 exons. Lineage: Eukaryota; Viridiplantae; Streptophyta; Magnoliopsida; Malvales; Malvaceae.
AUAAUGAAAUCUUUGCUAUUGUUGUUCAGCAUGAGAGGUCUGUUAGUGUUUCUAUCUCUGUCAGUGAGUCCAACAUCUUGCUUGCUGGGAGAUAUAUGCAUGGAAAUAAGAAUAAUCAGCUUGAUGAUUCAGGGGGUGGUCAUAAUUUGUUGUUCAGCAUGAGUGGUCUGUUAGUGUUUCUAUCUCUGUCAGUGAGUCUAAAAUCUUGCUUGCUGGGAGAUAUAUGCAUGGAAAUAAGAAUAAUCAGCUUGAUGAUUCAGGGAGUGGUCAUAAUUUGAAGAAAUUUUUUAAUGCUGGUGAAAAACCCACCUGUACAUAUUGUGGUAUCUAUGGACAUUCCAUAGAUAAAUGAUAUCGUAAACAUGGUUUUCCACCUGGUUAUAAGAGUUCUAAUAGAGGACAGACCAGCAAAGCAAGUCAGGUUAUUACUUCUGAUAGUCAAGAACCUAUAGCCUCUAAUUUUUUUUAGAUACAAGGAAUGGAUCUUUUUCUUUUACUAAGGAGCAAUACAAUAGCUUGAUGUCUUUACUGCAAGAAAGAGAGGCUACACAGAAUUUAGCAUCUCAAAUCAAUGCUAUUUCAUCAGUCUUUGAUGCAACUUCAGCAUCAUGAAUCAGGUAUGGUUUUUGCUUGUUCUGGUCAGAUUUCUAAGGAUAAAUGGAUUGUAGACUCAGGAGCUACAGAUCACAUUGUCAAUUCAUUUCAUUAUUUUCAAGAUGCUUAUCCUGUUAAUGAUAAGUUUGUUAAACUUCCUAAUAACCAGUUAGCUAAAGGUACACACAUAAAAACGGUUAAAAUCUCUUCAAGUUUAGUUCUCAAAAAAGGUGUUUUACAUACCUGGCUUUACUUUUAAUUUGAUUUCUACUUCUCAGCUUACAAGGGAUGAUUAUUGUUGUUUAAUUUUUUUUCCUUUGAUUCUUGUGUUAUGCAGGGUUUGAAUCCUUGAAAGAUGAUUUGUAUAGCUAAGCUGCUUGAUGGCCUCUAUGAGUUAGAAACAUGUGCUACUCAAUAUUCUUCUGUUUCUAGUUGUAAAAACUUGAAUUUAGAUCUUUGGCAUAAUAGGCUAGGACAUCCUGCUAAGCAGUGAAUGAAAUUUUUUUCUCAGUUGGACAAUGAUGUUUCUAUUGAUUCUGUUUUUGAAUGUGAGACUCAUCACUUGGCUAAGCAUAAGAGACUUCCUUUUCCUAUUAGCAAAACUGUUAUCGCUUCUUGUUUUGACUUAGUUCAUAUGGAUGUAUGGGGACCACUUUCUGUUAAAAACAUAUAUGGUCAUACUUAUUUUUUGACUGUUGUAGAUGAAAAAAGUAUAUUUUUUGGAUAUUUACUAUGAAAGCAAAGUUUGAGGUAAGAAAGUUAAUAGUUGAUUUCUAUAAUUUGGUAGAAACUCAGUUUUCUGUUAGAAUUAAUUUUUUUAGAACUGAUAAUGCUAAGGAAUUUGAUCAAGUAGAUUUAUUUAAGGAGAAGGGUAUUGUGCAUCAAAAUUAUUGUACACACAUACCACAGCAAAAUAGCGUAGUUGAAAGGAAGCAUCAGCAUAUUCUAUCUGUUCCAAGGGCAUUAAGAAAUCAUUCUAAUCUUCUUCUUAUUUUUUUGGAUGGAUUGAAUCUUACAUUAUGUAUUUCUUAUUAAUAUUACACCUACACCAGUGUUAGAUAAUUUGACUCCUUUUGAAGUCUUAAAUAAAAAACGGAUUUUGAACCAGCUUAAGGUGUUUGGAUGUUUAGCUUUUGCAUGUCUUACCUAAAGCUAGAACAAAAAUGCAUCCUAGAGCUAUUAAAUGUGUUUUUCUUGGUUUACCUGAAAAUAUAAAAAGAUACAGGUUAUAUGACCUAGACAGCAAAUUUGUUUUUGUUUCAAGAGAUGUUUUUUUACUGAAGAUAAGUUCCCUUUUAAAGAAAAUACAGUGUUUUUAUUCUUCUGAUAUUGUUCUGCCAGCAUAUCAUAAUGAUUUUUUGUUGAGAAACAUGUCUGCUGCAGGUGUACCUGUAACAAAUUCCUCUUCAACUAAUACACCUACAGCAAGAUCUUUUACAAAUCCUUUCACUAAUGGGGAUCACAACAAUGUUGCUGGCAUGCCUACAGAUUCAUCACCAGUAGCUCCGAGGAUUCUACCUUCUCGUUCAAUCCGACCGUCUAGAAGUGUUAAUUUACCACAAAGCUCGUAGGGUUCUUCGUUAUUUGAAAGGAACUCCAGGGCAAGGAUUGUUUUUCCCAGCAGGAAAUGAUCGAAAUUUAAGGCUUUCAGUGAUUCUGAUUGAGCUUCGUAUCCUGAUUCUCGAAGAUCUCUAUUGCGACAAUCUUUCAGAGAAUCUUGUCUACCAUGAACGUACAAAACACAGAGAGAUUGAUUGUCACUUAAUAUGCAGAAGCUGCAACAAGGAGUCGUCGUAUUAAUGCUAGAUUCAUCUCAUAAUCAGUUGGCUGAUUGUUUUACCAAAGCUUUACCUACAGCUUACUUUUUAGAGGUCUACUCUCAAGUUGGGCAUUCAAAAUUUGUAUGCUCCAACUUGAGGGGGGCUAACGGAAUGUAUAAGUUGUGCAAGUUUGUAAACGGGUAGUUAGUUAGGAGGUAGUUAGAGUUAAUAGCUACU